CAGUAGCCGCGGUAAUACGUAGGUGGCAAGCGUUGUCCGGAGUUAUUGGGCGUAAAGGGCUCGCAGGCGGUUUCUUAAGUCUGACGUGAAAGCCCCCGGCUCAACCGGGGAGGGUCAUUGGAAACUGGGAAACUUGAGUGCAGAAGAGGAGAGUAGAAUUCCACGUGUAGCGGUGAAAUGCGUAGAGAUGUGGAGGAACACCAGUGGCGAAGGCGACUCUCUGGUCUGUAACUGACGCUGAGGAGCGAAAGCGUGGGGAGCGAACAGGAUUAGAUACCCCCGUAGUCCCUGUCUCUUAUAC
Molecule: ribosomal RNA, 301 nt
Filed under: uncultured bacterium
Lineage: Bacteria
Description: partial 16S ribosomal RNA
Rfam family: Bacterial small subunit ribosomal RNA
Source: RNAcentral